UGGGCGCUUCAGUUGCAUGCCGUAGACCCGAAACCAGGCGACCUAUCCAUGGACAGGAUGAAGCGAAAGUAAAAUUUCGUGGAGGUCCGAACCCACGCACGUUGAAAGUGCGGGGAUGAGCUGUGGAUAGCGGUGAAAUUCCAAUCGAGCCUGGAGAUAGCUGGUUCUCCCCGAAAUAGCUUUAGGGCUAGCCUCGGGAUUAGAGACGAGGGGGUAGAGCACUGACUGUCCUAGGGGCCCUUUGGGUUACCGAAGACUAUCAAACUCCGAAUACCUUGUUUUUCCCGGGAGUCAGUCUAUGGGUGAUAAGGUCCAUGGACAAAAGGGUAACAGCCCAGACCAUCAGCUAAGGUCCCAAAGUGUGGAUUAAGUGGAAAAGGAUGUGGGAUUGCACAGACAACCAGGAUGUUGGCUUAGAAGCAGCCACUCAUUCAAAGAGUGCGUAAUAGCUCACUGGUCGAGUGAUCCUGCGCCGAAAUAUUACCGGGGCUAAAAUCCACCACCGAAGCUAUGGAUCCGUAAGGAUGGUAGGGGAGCGUUGUAUAAGGAGCGAAGCUGUACCGCAAGGAGCAGUGGACUUUAUACAAGUGAGAAUGUUGGCAUGAGUAGCGAGAGGCAGGUGAGAAUCCUGCCGGCCGAAAACCCAAGGUUUCCUGAGGAAGGUUCGUCCUCUCAGGGUUAGUCGGGGCCUAAGCUCAGGCCGAAAGGCGUAGGCGAUGGACAACAGGUUGAUAUUCCUGUACCACCAACCACCAUUUGAGUGAUGGGGUGACACAGUAGGAUAGGCCAUCCUUCAGUUGGUUUUGAAGGUCCAAGCGUUAAGGGAGUCGAAAUAGGCAAAUCCGUUUCGAUAAUUCUAAGGCGUGAUGGGGAGCGAAAUUUAAGUAGCGAAGUGGUUGAUUUCACACUAACGGGGCACCCCUUCUCCCUAAGUUACGGGGUAAUUUUGCCGAGUUCCUUAACAAUAGUUCUCUCGCUAGCCUUAGGAUUCUCUCCUCACCCACCUGUGUCGGUUUGCGGUACGGGCACCUUCCACCUCGUUAGAGGCUUUCCUGACAGUGUGAAAUCA
RNAcentral lists this non-coding RNA (1069 nucleotides) under Peptoclostridium litorale DSM 5388. RNAcentral describes it as "Bacterial large subunit ribosomal RNA". It matches the Rfam family "Bacterial large subunit ribosomal RNA", at positions 689 to 1675 of the family's 2925-position model. Lineage: Bacteria; Bacillati; Bacillota; Clostridia; Peptostreptococcales; Peptoclostridiaceae. The record is from Rfam by way of RNAcentral.